Passer domesticus (house sparrow) is the source of this 6111-nucleotide long non-coding RNA. RefSeq lists it as uncharacterized. The transcript is spliced from 12 exons. The record is from RefSeq and is a predicted model, not a curated record. NCBI's taxonomy places the organism in Eukaryota, Metazoa, Chordata, Aves, Passeriformes, Passeridae.
CCCCGCGGCCGCCGCGCUCCGGCCCCGCUGCCGGGAGCUCCCGCUGCGGGAGGAAGGAGAGGCAUCCGAGGAGACGAGGGGAACAAAAGGACGAGAUCUGAAACAGGAAUAAAAGAAGGAAAUGUAGCGAGCACUAAAAACAAGAGGAGGAAUUUUCCCCGUGGGGAAGAGAGAGGGAAGCGCCACUUACAUGAGUUUGAUAGGAAGUCAGUGCUUGCUUCAGGGUUUGCAGUCUCUUCAAACCUGAAUUAUGAAGGCUACCAUAAAAAUAUGGAUAAAAUACUACCUCCCCAAAGUGCCAUGUGUUAUGGCCUGCACCCCAGUGUGGAGAUUGCUUUUGUAAUACCUGCAGACAACAUGUGCUAUUAGAGCUGCAAUUCAAAUACUCAGUCACUAAGCAGUGACCGGGGAAGGAGUCUCCUAAGCUGUGGAAGACAAGUUGUGGGUGCAAGACACAGUUGCCUCAUGCAACAUGGUAUCUCUUGAGGAUGAAGGCAGAACUAGAUGAUAUAAAGAAAAAAUCUUUCAGAAGAAAGGAAGAUCAAAUAUUUUACUCAAACGCCGGCAGAAUGAUACUCACAUAAACUGAUUUGUUUUCCAGAAUAUGAAAGACUGGAUCCACUCAGAGAUGAGCAUUAAACAGCUCAGGACACUGCAGUCCUCUCUCUGCAUAAAAGGAAGCAAAAUGCAAGGUCUCAUUAUGGUCUGAUUCCUGUUUCAGUGCAGACAUGGAAGAAAGGCUAUCCAUAGGAGAGAAGGGAAGCAGCUGUUGGAUGCUUCAAGAAACCUGAUGCCAAAAACGAUCACUACUUUGUUCAUGUAGUGUUCAAAUGAACACUACUUUGUUUCCCUUCUGGAAAAGGCACAUGGUUCAGAUUGUGUUAAAUGAUCAACAUCUUCAAAGCCAUCAGAAUGUUGCAUGUGGCCAUCACUGGGAGAUGGCCAUUAACUGCAGGUGAAGGUGCAGCAUCAGCAGCACCCAAGUCCUGGUCUCACUCUGCAUUGGAGUGAGUUGGCAAUCUCCUCAGAGAUGGAGCAACUACAGACAGCUCUUUUUUUUUUUUUCUGAUAAUCUUCCUGACACUUGGAUGAGACUGGCUUAUCCAUCAACAUACAGUUACUCAGUGGCAGCCUCCUGAGUGAGGCAAAGAGCUGCUGGCUGAUGGAGCUAACCAGGACUCCAGAGCUGACCAAAGGACAGGAAAGCUCUGCCAAGCACAAAGACAGGUAGCGCUAGAAGGCAAAGCAAGCCCACACUUCUGAGAUCAGUUCAGACUUCUGAGAGAUCAAAAGUGGAAGAAGAAAUCUUGUUCAGCAGAGGAGACAUUGAGAAAAGCACCAGAGGCCACAGGAAUUCAACAGAUAGGGAAAUAAAGUGUGGAGGAAAGAGAAGGAUUGAAAACUUGUGUUGGGUCUUCCAGCUUUCUGGAAAUCUGCAAAAGACCAACAGUGGGACACCUUAACAGAGGCAAAAAAUGUUUGGGUUCUGGGCUGUGACUGCAUUGUCAGGCAACGGCUGGAGCAGGCUGAGGUGAGAGCAGCAGUGAAUGAGGAUUUGAAAGGAAACACCACAUGUAGAGGGGAUGAUGUGAAGGGGCAUAUAAGGAGCAGAGGAUGGUGGGGAAGGAGGGCACGAAGGCACAAAAUACAGGAGCUGCCAGAAGAGGGGAUGUUCAUUCCUUCUUUGGAAGAUAUUCAUGAUACACAGAUACAGGCUUAGAAACUAUUCCAUGAAAACUCAGGGUUGUGGCACUGACUCCCUCACAGGCUAGAAAAAUACAGGCUUGAAAGGAAAAGGCCUUCAGGGUAGGAGGGUUUGUUAUUUAGGGUUUUAAACUGACAGAAUCUGCUGCUGACUUGUAAGGUGGGGAGGUAUUAACUCCUGAGAAGGAGGAACAAAAGGCAAGGAUUGCGAUCCUGCGAGAAAAGACAAGGAGCAUUGCAAGGAGAGGUGGGCUGGUCCAGAGGGGGGGUUAAGGAUAUUCAUCGAGUGCUUUGAGAUGAAACAUGCUGUGUGUUCGCAAAGGUGUCUGUCAGUCAAGUGGGGGAGCAACAUUAUGACAACCUCUCUUCCAGGAGCAGCAAAGACCAAGAUUUUAUUCCCUGCAAAGCCAGCCAAGAAAUUACUGAAAUGGCUGUUUUAACAGUCAAAGCUAGCAGGGAGAGAACAAAAGAACUCCAGAUGCACGUACACACACAUCCAUCCAUCUAUCCAUGUCCUCCUUUGGCCUCCGAUGAGCCAACUUCCACUUAAAGAAAGUCUCUUACAUUGGUGAGAAAAUAGGCAGCAAAUUAUUUUGCUGCUGUAAAACAAAACUAUCUCCAUUUCAGGGAGGGGUGAAAAAUGGGUGUAGCUUGCAUGAAAAUUUCUGAGAGUACUGUUAAGUCUAAUGCACAUGGAAUGACAGAAAAGAGGUUAGAUUUCUUUCGAAGGAGCCACUCUUGUUUCAUGAAUACCAACUUGCUGUCUUACUGGCUUACCUCUCAAAGAAUGGCUGUUGCCUUGGCUCCAUGAGACAGACAGGCUCAGGUUCCAGAGGGGCUGUUCUCAAAGCCCACAAACACACAAUAUUGCUUCACUUGCUGUUUUUCACUUGUCAGUAUUUAAUUAACAAAUACAAAUGCAGAACUGUGCUGAAAUAAAGAAAAAGAUAGUUCGCUUUGGAAAAAACUUUUAAUAUGAGGAAGUUGCUUGUUAAACAGAGAGAAAUUUGUUGUUCAGCUGCACUCAAAACACAAGAAAAGGGAAAAAAACAUUAAUGUGUGCCAGGGCAAAAGAACCACUGAUUUGGCAAGAAACAGAAACAUUUGCAAGCUUCUGAGUUAGUAUUUGAACAAUGGGGAAGAAAAUGAACUAGAAAAACUGCCUGAUGGGCUGCUGAGAAGAAUCUUCCUCCCCCUGCUACACACACUGAUUUUUGUGUUUUCUUACAUUCAGAUAAGAUGGACUGAUGGUAAUAAUAUCUGACACAGGAGUUAUAAAAAAACUGUGGAAUCAAGAACAGAAUUUUCAGCAGCCUGCACUCCUUGAAUUCAAUGGCAACCAAAUGAGCAACAAAAGUAUAAUCAAAUACCACUAUUUCUUUCAGAAGAUACUGAAAACUCUGUAAGCUUUUUCACACAGUUACUAUCCCAGUAUAGGCUGACACAAAAUAAAAACCAAAACACCAAAACCAAACCAAGCCCUUAAUUCUUGGUUGAAGAUCAAGGUGAGAAGAAGGCUUAAGUCUGGCUGUCAAACAUCUGAAGAAACAGGUUUUCCAGUGUUUGCUUUGGUCAUUUUCCCUAUGGUGGAUAACUUCAAUAAAUUACCCUUAAUCCUUCAUCAGAUGUCUGCCCUUCUUCAGUUUUAUCCCAAGUUCCUAGUCAGCAACUUCUCAAACUGCCCUUCACAUUUUGCAGUUAUCUUCAUGUAUUGCAGGUGAAGGAGCUGGAAGAGAACCCCUGUAUUCAUCUGAAUCCUUAACGAACAGCAUGUCCAUCCCGACAUAUUGCCGGCACAAUUAGAUCACAGGGAGUGCAGACUGGGAUGGUUCAGUGAACACUUGAAGGCAGAGGCAAAUACAGGAAGGACAGCAAAUGCUGUAGUCCUAGUUACAGCAAUUUGGCACACAACAGGAUCAGACCACAAGGGAAAGCCUGGAGAGGAUUUCUGUGCUUUAAAAAGAGAAACAGGGGAAGACUGAAUUUCCUAAGGUCACUGAGGAAAUGCUAGGAAAAGAACUCAGCACUCGAGCAGCAGAGAUACCAUCUUCACAGCCAAAACCAGAUGGUUUUUCUCUGCAGUGUGACAUAACAGCACAGUUUAACCAUUCUGGUGCACUGAACAACUUCUGUGCUGCUGUGAGCUUGACUCCUAGCCUCAAGAUCUCACCCUCCCUAGUGUUGUCUGGAUAUCAAUUCUUUCAACCCCCAGUCCUUCCUCACAGCAAUUGCAGACUUUAGCACGUGAAACUGUAACAAAGCAGUGAACUGCUAACAAAAGGCAUGCAUCAGAGGAGCUCAGGACCAGGAGGAAACCCUUUGCAUUUUUGUCAUGUAAGAAUGUUUUCUGCACAUCCAGCGAUACUGUACCAUAUUAGAUAGAUCUAAUUCCCUAGCUAAAGCACUACUUAAAUAAUUUUGAAGUAAAUUUAUCUACUUCAGUAAAUAGCACUGCUAGUCUGUGCUAUCAGAUUUUCUACUUAAACAAGAUUUCAUUUAGGGCAAAAGUAAAAGGGGAGUGGGUAAACAUAGCAUCACUGGUGCAAUUCACGUACCUGAAAGGAUUUUUUCCUAUUUAAUGGACACUUUUGAGUUGCAUCUUCUCCCUUGAUUGUGUAGUCUAAGGAAACCUGGGAAGUCUUGAGAUUGUUAGCUCAGUCUCCACACUGGGCCGUUGUCUCCACCAGAUUCCCUGGGCUGAGCACAGUGCAGUUACCAAGCUGUAAGUGUGUGUCACCAGAACAGCCUCUCUGGCUCUCACCAGCACAGACAUUACCUCCAAGUAAACCACAGGCAAAUAACUCUACACAGGACCUCAGGACUCAGAUCCACCUUAGCUGCUGCUUCACUUAACAACAUUUCUACUUCAGGACACUUGGCAGUUGCUCUCAUAAAGCUCCUUACACCCAGGUUUCUCUUGUGACGCAUGUGAAAGAACCUUAUUCUCACCAACAAUGGUUGAAAAAUACCUGUGCUUCCAGAUAGGCUGUCAAACACAGCAUAACCUCCCUCAUCUCACCAGUGGUGGGAGCUGGCAGGAGCUGCUGCAUGAUCUUUGCAAUGAAGAGCAACUACAAGACAGAUUCUCUCCCCACUGUUUAUUUUUGGUGCUCCAUGUCCCAAAACCACACUAAUCACAGCAUUGCAGAGCUCAGUACAACUACAGGUAAAAGCACGAGCAACAGUACCCUGGUCUGACACCUCCUCUUCUGGCUGCAGCAACUGUUUUCUGAAGGGAAAGGUCAGCAUGGUUUAGGUUUGUAAGUAGUUUGCCAUUUACAAAAUCCACAUCUUCUUGCAUAUUAUAUAGCAAGCUGUAACUCACUGGGAGGUGCAAGGGAGCUCCAGCAAGGCCAGCUGUUACACUAGGUAUCAGGGAACUCUAAGUUAUGGCAGGAAAAACAUUUCCUUGUGGAACCCAAUAUGUAAAAAGUAUAAUGUGGUGUCUGUACAGGGGAAAACAGAAGCUACAUUUCAGCAGUCAGGCUUAAUUAGCAAGUUAGUUAAGUGUAACAUCACCCAAACUGUUAAUCUCAUUCAUAACUUUUCUUCAGAACUGGAAAGAAAAAAUAGAAAUCAAAAACUAGACGUGAGAUUUUAGAAACUAGAAAAACAGAUGGGAAUAAAACCAAUGGUACCUAAGAGACUACAAUACUCUCAACUCCCAUGCAUCAGCUAUAAAGUAAAAUAUACUUACUAGUGAGUAUGUCAAAGAAAUAGUGCUUAAUAUACUUACUACAGGGUAUGACAAAGAAAUAAACUAACAGUGUUAGCAAGGAGAAAGGGUGUGUGUCUUCAGCCUGUGCUUAGUAGAAAGUACACAGAAAAAAAAAGCAAAAUUCCUUGCUGUAGGUAAGUCUGCAUGUCUUGCUGAAAAUUAAUUGUACUCACAUUAACAACAUUCAAGUGUUAAUUUUUUUUCCAAAGCAGGCUUUAGCUAUAUUAAUGAAUGGAGUUUUGGUCUUGCAACUACAGGAAAGUGAUUUGUUUGAGAUCAUACCAGGAGGUUUUCACAGAACACUGUAUCUGUAUUCUGUAAUGGGCACAUAGAUAUCCUAUACACAGGUAUAUUUUUAUUUACUGGAGGUGCUUUUCAGAGCUUUGUAAUACCAAUGCUGUUUUCUAGCCACACCAACCAUUUAAAAACUAGAAGUUACUUCUCCCGGGAAAAAAACUAGGAUUACAUCAAAGCAUUUCAGUUCCUCACAACAGCACAACAGAACUCUGUGCUUGGUUUCCAAUACUAAAAUUGUAACAUCACAACUUUUUUAUAAGAAUUAAAUGGAAAGAGAAAUAAAGGGGGAAGAAAAAGCUUUAGAGUGUUAACUCUCCACGGCAGGAGGAAGCCAGCAUGGGCAUUGAGCUCAGCACACUCAUUCCCUUCUCCCUGCUGAAAGGGACACAAAA